This 373-nucleotide long non-coding RNA is filed under the name Felis catus (domestic cat). RNAcentral's name for it is "lncRNA (ENSFCAG00000044808.2)". Lineage: Eukaryota; Metazoa; Chordata; Mammalia; Carnivora; Felidae. The record is from RNAcentral.
UCCCUUUGUUUCUCUGUCAGCUGAGUCUGAAUGGGCUUCCUCUCCCACUCGUCCCUACUUCUCAUCUCUUUAAUGGAUGACACACAUCGCUGAAGGUCACAGUGAAGUCUCAAACUUCAGCUUGCAUCUUCCCUCUACCUCUAUACUCCAAGUUCCUGGCUGGCACUGGAAUUACAUCUUUAGCACGGACAUCAUAACCUCCAGGUGAGGUAAGUAUGAUUAUUUUCAUUUUGAAAAUCAACAAUCUGAAGCUCAAAAGAGAGUAGGUCAUGUUUCUGAGAUCACAGUACUAGUAAGUGCUGUCCUUUGGUAAGUGUGUGUGUGUGGUGUGUGUGUGUGGUGUGUGUGUGUGGUGUGUGUGUGUGGUGUGUGU